CACAUUUACUCGCUUUUUUGACAACAUCAAAUAAAUAUUGUAAAAGUAGGUCUAUAAAUUCCAUCUGUUUGGUAUAGUUCAGCAUGGUAAAUUCGAAAUUCAGCCUUGAGUGACCAUGGCGAAUACACAGCCCGCGACGACGACGGCUCCGCGCAAAGAUAAGCGCAUUGAGCGGGACGAGAACCGCGGCCAAUGGAAUUCCAAGUCGGAGUUCAUCCUCUCGCUCCUCGGAUAUGCCAUUGGCAUUGGCAAUGUGUGGCGCUUUCCCUAUCUCUGCUACCGCAGUGGCGGCGCCGCCUUCCUGAUUCCCUACAUGCUGAUGGUCAUUUUGGCCGGCAUACCCCUGUUUUAUAUGGAGGUUCUGAUCGGCCAGUUCUCGAGCACCGGAUGCACUGGCAUGUUUCGCAUGACGCCUCUGCUGAAGGGAACGGGCAUCGCCCAGGUGGUGGUCAAUGCCUACUGCGUGUGCUACUACUCGGUGAUCAUAUCGUAUCCCGUCCGGAUGAUCUUCUACUGCUUUUUCAAGCAGGUGCCCUGGGAGGACUGCAGUAAUUCUUGGAAUAGCGACAAUUGUGUGACCGUUUCUGACAUGGGAAAGCAAAAUAGUACUGAUGGAUUUACAACUUCCGCCGAUGAAUUCUUUCACUUGGAAGUCCUUAGAAUCUCAAAGGACAUCUCUGAACUGGGCGGCAUGGUGUGGGAACAAUUAGUUGCCUUGAUAGUCACCUGGAUUAUUAUUUACUUCUGCCUAAUGCGGGGAAUCAAGUCGGUUGGCAAGGUCGUUUACUUCACGGUACCCUUCCCCUACUUGCUGCUCUUCAUUCUGCUCGUCAGAGGAGCCACUUUGCCCGGCGCCUGGAAAGGCAUAAAGUUCUACCUGUAUCCGGAAUGGGACCGCCUGCUGGACCUCAAAGUCUGGGCCGAUGCCGCCAUCCAAAUGUUCUUCGGCAUCGGACCUGGCUGGGGUGGUAUCGUCAACAUGGCCAGUUUCAGCAACUUUCGAAACAACGCCAGAUGUGACACGAUUCUCAUAGUAUCGAUCAACGUGUUCACAAGCAUACUGGCUGGAUUUGUGGUCUUUUCCGUGUUGGGAUUUCUUUCUGAAAAAUCGGGCAUUCCCGUGGAAACCGUGGCCACCGGAGGAGCUGGACUGGCCUUCGUCACGUAUCCGGAGGCCAUUGGCAUGCUGCCUGUCCCGCAGCUCUGGGCGCUCAUGUUUUUCUUUAUGCUCUUUUUGCUGGGCAUCGACAGUGUGUUUGUACAACUGGAGGCCAUCAUGACAUCGAUAUUGGAUGAGUGGUAUUGGGUGAGAAGUCACAAGUGGAAACUGACGCUCGUUUCUUGCUUUAUCUUUUUGGCAAUUUCCUCCAUAAUGUGCACAAAUGGGGGCAUGUUUAUUCUUCAGCUGUUUGACUGGUACUCCUCGGCGAUAGCUGUAAUAGUCAUUUGUCUGGUGGAGAUUAUAAUGGUCGCUUGGAUUUAUGGCAUUAAAAAUUUCAUGUUGGAUGUCGAAUUUAUGCUCGGAAGACGCCCAAGUCUAUAUUGGAGAAUUUUGUGGCAGGUCGUCACACCCGUUAUACUAAUUUUUAUACUUAUAACUAGCAUUGUAUUCAUGAGGACAAUCACCUAUAACAACAUCCCAUACCCCCCAUGGGCCAUUAUGAUCGGCUGGGCUAGUUGUAUAACAUCAGUCAUGUGGAUACCGCUCUACAUUUUCUAUAUCAUGAUCCGUAAGCGGGCCACUCUAUGUGACAGCCUAAAGAAACGCCUCAGGCCCUUGGACUGGACCCCAUCGGAUCCGCAAGAUCGUGCGGAAUACGAGGCCUUCCGAAGGCAACGCAGAAUGCCGGGAUUUAUGUCUGACACAGACAUCGAGUCCACCAAAUAGAAUAAUCUAUAAUAUAUGUACAUUUUUUAUUGGUAAAAUAUUUACAACAUUUGUACGCAUGAAGAGGUACAAGUAGAACUUGCCAUACUCUAUUUGAGCCAAGAUCAGUUUCACAAAUAUUUGGAAGCAACAAGAAUCAAACAUGCCAGCUUUUCACAAAUGUUGUUGUAUUGUAAUUUUAUUAUUUGUCUUUCCAAGUUCUAUUGAUAAGCCAAAUGUAGUUGUACAACGCCCACAAUUAGAAAAAUCCACAGAACAUACUGUUAGUAUAGCAUUUAAAUGUAAUUAAAGAGCACUAUGUUUUAUUCA
This is an RNA transcript of Drosophila santomea, 2197 nucleotides long. It is a transcript of the gene named sodium- and chloride-dependent glycine transporter 1, with no coding region annotated. The record is from RefSeq and is a predicted model, not a curated record. NCBI's taxonomy places the organism in Eukaryota, Metazoa, Arthropoda, Insecta, Diptera, Drosophilidae. The transcript has 10 exons.